Molecule: ribosomal RNA, 254 nt
Filed under: uncultured bacterium
Lineage: Bacteria
Description: partial 16S ribosomal RNA
Rfam family: Bacterial small subunit ribosomal RNA
Source: RNAcentral
UACGUAGGGGGCGAGCGUUGUCCGGAUUUACUGGGCGUAAAGGGCGCGUAGGCGGCCACCGCAAGUCGACUGUGAAAUCUCCGGGCUUAACCCGGAAAGGUCAGCCGAUACUGCGGGGCUAGAGUGCAGAAGGGGCAACUGGAAUUCUCGGUGUAGCGGUGAAAUGCGUAGAUAUCGAGAGGAACACCUGCGGCGAAGGCGGGUUGCUGGGCUGACACUGACGCUGAUGCGCGAAAGCUAGGGGAGCGAACGGG